This 252-nucleotide long non-coding RNA is filed under the name Gossypium raimondii (Peruvian cotton). Its description in RNAcentral is "long non-coding RNA (GRAI_LNC007802)". The record is from RNAcentral. Lineage: Eukaryota; Viridiplantae; Streptophyta; Magnoliopsida; Malvales; Malvaceae.
UUGGACCGGUUGGACUGGGAAUUGAGUGGAGUAUCGAUUAUAAAUCGAAUUAAAUUUUACAAUUCGAAUAUACGAUUGGUGUAAAUACAAUGUUUCUAAAUACCAAAUUAAAUCAUUAUUAACUUUACAUCUAAAAAAAUUAUAAAAAGAAACUAAAGGAUAUAUAAAAAAAACUUAAAAAAUAUUUAAAAAACCCCCUAAACUCUACACAAAAUUAAACUUUAAACCCUAAAAUUCACAAAACUCUAACCC